Molecule: ribosomal RNA, 492 nt
Filed under: uncultured bacterium
Lineage: Bacteria
Description: partial 16S ribosomal RNA
Rfam family: Bacterial small subunit ribosomal RNA
Source: RNAcentral
AGUGAACGCUGGCGGUAGGCCUAACACAUGCAAGUCGAACGGCAGCACAGUAAGAGCUUGCUCUUACGGGUGGCGAGUGGCGGACGGGUGAGGAAUACAUCGGAAUCUACUUUUUCGUGGGGGAUAACGUAGGGAAACUUACGCUAAUACCGCAUACGACCUACGGGUGAAAGCAGGGGAUCUUCGGACCUUGCGCGAUUGAAUGAGCCGAUGUCGGAUUAGCUAGUUGGCGGGGUAAGGGCCCACCAAGGCGACGAUCCGUAGCUGGUCUGAGAGGAUGGUCCGCCCCCCUGGAACUUGGACCCCGGCCCGGCCCCCACCGGGGGGCCGCGUGGGGAAUUUUGGGCCAAGGGGGCGAAGCCUGCCCCGCCCUCCCGCGGGGGGGGAAGAAGCCUUUCGGUUUUAAAGCCCUUUUGUUGGGAAAAAAAAGGCGCAGGUUUAAUCCCCCCUUUUUUUGCGGUACCCAAAGAAAAAGCACCGGCUAACUUUCUG